Molecule: ribosomal RNA, 496 nt
Filed under: uncultured bacterium
Lineage: Bacteria
Description: partial 16S ribosomal RNA
Rfam family: Bacterial small subunit ribosomal RNA
Source: RNAcentral
GAUGGACGCUGGCGGCGUGCCUAAUACAUGCAAGUCGAGCGAACAGACGAGGAGCUUGCUCCUCUGACGUUAGCGGCGGACGGGUGAGUAACACGUGGAUAACCUACCUAUAAGACUGGGAUAACUUCGGGAAACCGGAGCUAAUACCGGAUAAUAUAUUGAACCGCAUGGUUCAAUAGUGAAAGACGGUUUUGCUGUCACUUAUAGAUGGAUCCGCGCCGCAUUAGCUAGUUGGUAAGGUAACGGCUUACCAAGGCAACGAUGCGUAGCCGACCUGAUAGGGUGAUCGGCCACACUGGAACUGAGACACGGUCCAGACUCCUACGGGAGGCAGCAGUAGGGAAUCUGCCGCAAUGGGCGAAAGCCUGACGGAGCAACGCGGCGUGAGUGAUGAAGGUCUUCGGAUCGUAAAACUCUGUUAUUAGGGAAGAACAAAUGUGUAAGUAACUAUGCACGUCUUGACGGUACCUAAUCAGAAAGCCACGGCGAACUACGU